GUGGAAGGCGGUCAGUUGCGUAAGCCGAAGGCCGCCUCGGGCGCGGCCGGCGACACCAUGCCGCCGGUGCCGGAACCCGACCUGCCGUCC
Molecule: transfer RNA, 90 nt
Filed under: Burkholderia sp. AD24
Lineage: Bacteria; Pseudomonadati; Pseudomonadota; Betaproteobacteria; Burkholderiales; Burkholderiaceae
Description: tRNA-Pro
Source: RNAcentral